AGAAGUUAAAAGUGGUUAGCACGUGCUAUCACGUGCAUUGUUCACAACCUACACCGUUGGAUAUUUGUUGUCUGUUGGUAUUUGAGUCUCGAGUCUUAUCUAUACUCUCUAGGAUUUGGAUCAGAAGAAAAAACAAGAAAAAACUUGCUAACAAAUUAAAGUCUGAAUUUUAAUUCUAACAAAUUAAAUUUUAAACUUUUUAACUUGUCAAAAUUUGAAUAAUUCGCUAAACUUUGUUUAUG
Molecule: long non-coding RNA, 242 nt
Filed under: Actinidia chinensis (golden kiwifruit)
Lineage: Eukaryota; Viridiplantae; Streptophyta; Magnoliopsida; Ericales; Actinidiaceae
Description: long non-coding RNA (ACHI_LNC005151)
Source: RNAcentral